UCCAGACUCCUACGGGAGGCAGCAGUGGGGAAUAUUGCACAAUGGGGGAAACCCUGAUGCAGCGACGCCGCGUGAGUGAAGAAGUAUUUCGGUAUGUAAAGCUCUCUCAGCAGGGAAGAAAAUGGCGGUACCUGACUAAGAAGCCCCGGCUAACUACGUGCCAGCAGCCGCGGUAAUACGUAGGGGGCAAGCGUUAUCCGGAUUUACUGGGUGUAAAGGGAGCGUAGACGGCAUGGCAAGUCAGAUGUGAAGGCCCGGGGCUCAACCCCGGGACUGCAUUUGAAACUGUCAGGCUGGAGUGCAGGAGAGGUAAGUGGAAUUCCUAGUGUAGCGGUGAAAUGCGUAGAUAUUAGGAGGAACACCAGUGGCGAAGGCGGCUUACUGGACUGUAACUGACGUUGAGGCUCGAAAGCGUGGGGAGCAAACAGGAUUAGAUACCCCAGUAGGA
RNAcentral lists this ribosomal RNA (448 nucleotides) under uncultured bacterium. Its description in RNAcentral is "bacterial SSU rRNA". It matches the Rfam family "Bacterial small subunit ribosomal RNA", at positions 330 to 795 of the family's 1533-position model. The record is from RNAcentral.